Molecule: ribosomal RNA, 365 nt
Filed under: uncultured bacterium
Lineage: Bacteria
Description: bacterial SSU rRNA
Rfam family: Bacterial small subunit ribosomal RNA
Source: RNAcentral
ACUCCGAAAUGCAUCCAGAUUAUUUUAUUUGAUCAUGGCUCAGGACGAACGCUGGCGGCGUGCCUAAUACAUGCAAGUCGAGCGGUCCCUUCGGGGAUAGCGGCGGACGGGUGAGUAACACGUAGGCAACCUGCCUGUAAGACUGGGAUAACUAUCGGAAACGAUAGCUAAGACCGGAUAGCUGGUUCUCUCGCAUGAGAGGAUCAUGAAACACGGGGUAACCUGUGGCUUACAGAUGGGCCUGCGGCGCACUAGCUAGUUGGUAGGGUAACGGCCUACCAAGGGCGACGAUGCGUAGCCGACCUGAGAGGGUGAUCGGCCACACUGGGACUGAGACACGGCCCAGACUCCUACGGGAGGCAGCA